GACGAACGCUGGCGGCGCGCCUAACACAUGCAAGUCGAACGAGAGAUGAGGAGCUUGCUCUUCAGAUCGAGUGGCGAACGGGUGAGUAACGCGCGAGGAACCUGCCUCAAAGAGGGGGACAACAGUUGGAAACGACUGCUAAUACCGCAUAAGCCCACGGCUCGGCAUCGAGCAGGGGGAAAAGGAGCAAUCCGCUUUGAGAUGGCCUCGCGUCCGAUUAGCUAGUUGGUGAGGUAACGGCCCACCAAGGCGACGAUCGGUAGCCGGACUGAGAGGUUGAACGGCCACAUUGGGACUGAGACACGGCCCAGACUCCUACGGGAGGCAGCAGUGGGGGAUAUUGCACAAUGGGGGAAACCCUGAUGCAGCGACGCCGCGUGGAGGAAGAAGGUUUUCGGAUUGUAAAACUCCUGUCGUUAGGGACGAUAAUGACGGUACCUAACAAGAAAGCACCGGCUAACUACGUG
Molecule: ribosomal RNA, 467 nt
Filed under: uncultured bacterium
Lineage: Bacteria
Description: bacterial SSU rRNA
Rfam family: Bacterial small subunit ribosomal RNA
Source: RNAcentral